UUCUGUGAUGAAGAUGCUGUAUAGGAAAAGCCGUCUGAUGCGAUAACUGACGAUGGCGAAGCAGAAUCACUGAGA
Molecule: small nucleolar RNA, 75 nt
Organism: Megalobrama amblycephala (Wuchang bream)
Lineage: Eukaryota; Metazoa; Chordata; Actinopteri; Cypriniformes; Xenocyprididae
Product: small nucleolar RNA SNORD49
Exons: 1
Source: RefSeq, a predicted model, not a curated record